RNAcentral lists this long non-coding RNA (789 nucleotides) under Homo sapiens (human). RNAcentral describes it as "HSALNT0082764". The record is from RNAcentral. Lineage: Eukaryota; Metazoa; Chordata; Mammalia; Primates; Hominidae.
GCAUUGCAGAGGAGACGGGGUGGGGGUGGUGUCUUACUCAUUUGGCCAAUUCCCCUUGCAGCCACAACCACCCAGCUACCAUGGGGAUGGCUCAAUCCUCAUUACUGGAGCUGCAGCGGUGCUGCCUCAGGACCGGGUGGAUUGUGGUGGACACCUUUCCACUCACCUCAAAUGCAGAGAUACAGCACCUCAUGUCCCCUAGAGGUAGAAGCCACCCGUGAUCAGCUCUCCCCCCUCCUCCUGAAACUAUUUCCCAGCUCCACCAGUUCCACAGUGGUGCUGCCCUGCGCUGUGUCAUGCUGCCAUCUUUCAGGCAGGGGAGACAGUUCCACAGUGGUGCCGCCCUGUGCUGUGUUGUGCUGCCAUCUUUCAGGCAGGGGAGAGUUUUGUGGGUCUACUCCCUGAGGGCGUGAUUGGCCUGCCUUUAUCUUGGUGGUGUCCACUAGAUGUGCAUCGGGGGCUGGUAACCUCUAUGGGCUUAUCUCAGUCCUUGUCCUCACUCUCCUCCCAGCGGGGCUCUCCAUGGGGCCCUAGGACUUAGGGCCCCAGGAUGAUUGGGUCAUGAUAGUCCUGACUAGUAGAUGUGGCAGUCAGCGACCCUUCAAAUGGGCUACCCAAUGAUCCAGAGUCUCCAUUUUGCCGCCCUGUUCUCGCAGGCAGGACAGUAAGUCUCUGAUGUUUCAACCUGAGAUAAUCUUGUAUCUCUUUCUGGUCAUAAAUUUUCUUGUACUUGAUGCACCUUUGCCUGUGCUGUGAGCUGAGCCUCAGUGUCUGUUUGGAGUGUAGUCA